This 2681-nucleotide unclassified non-coding RNA is filed under the name Neodiprion pinetum (white pine sawfly). RNAcentral's name for it is "dNA mismatch repair protein Mlh1, transcript variant X2". The record is from RNAcentral. Lineage: Eukaryota; Metazoa; Arthropoda; Insecta; Hymenoptera; Diprionidae.
UAUCCAAGCAUGUACGGUGGGUGCUACGUUCUGUCACCGGCAGAAUAUACGUUCCAACAAAACAUAAUCAAAUAAUUUAAUUAGUAACAAUGAGCAGGCCGGCUAAAAUAAGAAAGCUAGAUGAAACUGUGGUGAACAGAAUAGCCGCCGGGGAAGUUAUUCAGCGACCAGCAAACGCUCUGAAAGAACUGAUCGAAAACAGCCUCGACGCCAAGGCCAGCAGUAUUCAAGUCACAGUCAAAGAAGGCGGGUUGAAAAUACUUCAGAUUCAGGACAAUGGAACGGGGAUCAGGAAAGAGGACAUGGACAUUGUCUGCGAACGAUUUACUACCAGCAAACUACAGCAAUUCGAAGACCUCAAAUCAAUCGCCACCUUUGGCUUCAGGGGUGAAGCUCUUGCCAGUAUCAGCCACGUAGCUCAGCUGACGAUCACAACGAAAGUCGCCGACGACCCCUGUGCGUACAAGGCCUCGUACAUAGACAGUAAAUUGAAAGCACCUCCAAAACCUUGCGCUGGUAGCCAAGGUACGACAAUAUUGAUCGAAAAUCUGUUUUACAACGUCCCUACUAGACGGAGAGCAUUGAAAAGUCCAGCCGAGGAGCUUUCCAGGAUAACAGAAGUCGUGAAUAAAUAUGCAAUUCAUAAUUCUAACGUUGGUUUUGUUCUGAGAAAACAUGGGGACAUCGUUCCUCAGGUACGAACUCAGCACAAUUCUACAAAGGUUGCCAAUAUUCAAACGAUAUUCGGUGUUGCUGUGGCGAGGGAGUUGCUGGAGGUCGAGCACACCGACGAUACGUACAAAUUCAAACUAUGCGGUCUAGUAACGAACGCGAAUUACUCAAACAAAAACUUUACACUUCUGUUGUUCAUCAACAACAGGCUCGUCGAAUCUACCCCAAUAAAAAAAAUGUUGGAGGAUCUCUACUCGGUUUAUUUGCCGAGAAAGGCACACCCCUGGUGCUACAUAUCUCUUGAGAUAAAUCCGGCUAAUAUCGACGUGAACGUGCAUCCGACGAAGCACGAGGUUCGUUUUCUCCAUGAAGAGGCUAUAAUAGGAAAAGUGAAAGACGCCGUGGACGCACAACUGCUCGGAAACAACGCAUCGCGAACUUUUUACGCCCAAGCGAGAUUGCCUCAAGUCGACAUUACGAAACAAGCGCUGGAAGAAGUAAUUCCAGAGUACAGCAAUGCCGGGAACAAAGAAAAGCCAGUCCACGCUUACCAAAUGAUCAGAACAGAUUCCUCCGAUCAAAAACUGGAGAAGUUCAAUUUCACAGUCAACACAUCCAGCGCCAACCAAUCGCUCAAUGAAUCCAAGGAGGUAAAAAGCACGAUUGUUACGGAAAAUAAGGAAGACGGACAACCGAAGCGAUUAAAUCCGACGAAAUAUGCUGCGGAAAAGGCCCCCAACGAAUCGAGUUUUUUCGACAGUUUGUUAGAGGAUUGCUUACCGCAUCAAACCUCUACGCAAGUUGAAAAUCUUGCUAAACCUUCAACCAGUUACGCGCCCCUCGACGGUAACACAAAAGCUCAGGACGUCUCGGAGAUCGAAAAUGACGAGGUUGAAAAAGCCGUCAGUGGCGGCGAUUCUACCACCGAUGAGGCACUUAAGAGGGUUUUUCAGUACCUGGGUAAUCGGGAUAACAUAGAUUACGUAAAGACAAUCGUCGAGCCAGGAAGUAGCCAGGAUUUAGCUGAUCGACAUGACGGUUCCAAAACGAAGAAGACUGAUUCGCAAAUCACGUCGCCGAGUGAAAAUGCGACGGCUGAAACAAAGUCCGGCAGCAAGCCGAAGAGACCAGAGUUCAAAUCUUACUCGGUAAAUGCGACAAGGCGAGAGGUGAAGCUCACGAGCGUGUUGAAACUUCGGAAAAAUGUCGAAGACAACUACCACGAAGGGCUGAGGGACAUAUUGUCGAAUAUGAUUUUUGUUGGCUGCGUUGACGAAACUUUUGCCCUCAUACAGAGCGGACUCAAUCUGUACAUAUGCAACACCCCGAAGUUAUUGGAAGAACUUUUCUACGAAAUAAUGCUGUACGACUUUGAGAAUUACGGUGUUAUGCAAUUCUCGGAGCCCGUCUCACUGUCCGACCUCGCUAUGCUAGGACUCGAAACCGAGGAAGCCGGGUGGACAGAAGAAGACGGCGAGAAAGAGGAAUUGGCGAAUAGCGUGAAAGAAUUAUUGCUGGAAAAGGCCGAUAUGAUGAACGAGUACUUUUCGAUUAUAAUUGACAAAAAGGGGAUGUUAAAGUCCCUGCCUAUACUGCUGGACAAGUACUUUCCAAGCAAGGCUGGAAUGCCAUUGUACGUGUUGCGUUUGGCGACGGAAGUCGACUGGACCGCGGAACAAUCUUGUUUCGAUGGAAUAUGCAGAGAAACGGCCAAGUACUUCAGCUAUAUUCUCAACAUUCGUCAAGUGAAAAGUAUUCAUUUCACGGUGUGUGCUAUUCGAAGUGUGUGGAACGAUUUUUGUAUUCGUCGUUGCCCUCAUGCUGUGCGCUAAAUGGAUCCUACGCAGAUUGACAAUGUGGAUGAUGAUUGAACAUAUCGAUGGCAGAAGUUACAGGGUACAACUGUCCGUAUUACUUAAGAAAAAAAAAAAAUGGAAGAUACAAGUGAAAUUGCAUACACGAUGUCUCAAUGAGGGGGAUGAUUCGUCGGUAAUUAAGCCGUAAUUAUA